AAUAUUGCGCAAUGGACGGAAGUCUGACGCAGCGACGCCGCGUGAGCGAUGAAGGUCUUCGGAUCGUAAAGCUCUGUCCUUGGGGAAGAAGGGCUUCGGCCUUGACGGUACCCAAGAAGAAAGCCCCGGCUAACUACGUGCCAGCAGCCGCGGUAAUACGUAGGGGGCGAGCGUUGUCCGGAAUUACUGGGCGUAAAGGGUGCGUAGGCGGCCUUUUAAGUCAGAUGUGAAAGGCUACGGCUUAACCGUAGUUAGCAUUUGAAACUAGAAGGCUUGAGUACAGGAGAGGAGAGUGGAAUUCCUAGUGUAGCGGUGAAAUGCGUAGAUAUUAGGAGGAACACCAGUGGCGAAGGCGACCACCUGGGCUAAUACUGACACUGAGGUGCGAAAGCGUGGGGAGCAAAC
RNAcentral lists this ribosomal RNA (405 nucleotides) under uncultured bacterium. RNAcentral's name for it is "partial 16S ribosomal RNA". It matches the Rfam family "Bacterial small subunit ribosomal RNA", at positions 360 to 773 of the family's 1533-position model. The record is from RNAcentral.